UACGAAGGGACCUAGCGUAGUUCGGAAUUACUGGGCUUAAAGAGUUCGUAGGUGGUUGAAAAAGUUGGUGGUGAAAUCCCAGGGCUUAACUCUGGAACUGCCAUCAAAACUUUUCAGCUAGAGUAUGAUAGAGGAAAGCAGAAUUUCUAGUGUAGAGGUGAAAUUCGUAGAUAUUAGAAAGAAUACCAAUUGCGAAGGCAGCUUUCUGGAUCAUUACUGACACUGAGGAACGAAAGCAUGGGUAGCGAAGAGG
This 253-nucleotide ribosomal RNA is filed under the name uncultured Pelagibacterales bacterium. RNAcentral's name for it is "partial 16S ribosomal RNA". It matches the Rfam family "Bacterial small subunit ribosomal RNA", at positions 524 to 776 of the family's 1533-position model. Lineage: Bacteria; Pseudomonadati; Pseudomonadota; Alphaproteobacteria; Candidatus Pelagibacterales. The record is from RNAcentral.